Molecule: ribosomal RNA, 270 nt
Filed under: uncultured archaeon
Lineage: Archaea
Description: partial 16S ribosomal RNA
Rfam family: Archaeal small subunit ribosomal RNA
Source: RNAcentral
CUGCAGCCCGAGUGGUGAUCGAUUUUAUUGGGCCUAAAGCAUCCGUAGCCGGCGCUGUAAGUUUUCGGUUAAAUCUGUACGCUCAACGUACAGGCUGCCGGGAAUACUGCAGCGCUAGGGAGUGGGAGAGGUAGACGGUACUCGGUAGGAAGGGGUAAAAUCCUUUGAUCUAUUGAUGACCACCUGUGGCGAAGGCGGUCUACCAGAACACGUCCGACGGUGAGGGAUGAAAGCUGGGGGAGCAAACCGGAUUAGAUACCCGAGUAGUCC